AAACUGUAAGAGCUGACAAAAAAAAAGUUACAUGGUUCAUGGGCUGGCCCACUUAUGCAAACCAAAAAAGACCCAUUCGACAAAAAAACGCUUUUCUUACUUCUAAUUUUUUAAGCAACGCGUGGAGGGCGCGGCAGAGGAAGCCAGCUUCCAGAGGCAGAAACUGAAUGGGCAUAUCGUUCAGAAGACGAUGACGGCGACGGAAGUUCAAGGUCGUCCUCCUUGGCGCAGCGACGGCAGCGUUAAGCAACUAAUGAUCUGUAAUGCAGCUAGCAGAACCGGAUUUGGGGUGGAAAAGCGAGAUCUCUGCCAAAUCGAACAAGAGGCAAGGGGGCAGAACUUCAAUCCCCGAAGAAAAAGGGCUUCAAUCGUACUCUUAGGUGGGGAGUGGCAGCUGGCGAUCUCACAUGCAUCGGCGACGAAGGUUUGGUGAUAGCAAAAAAGGAAUCUGAUUGAAGAAGGGAGUGGAGAUGUCGUGUGCUUCAGAGCGAUGGUUACGGCGGUGGUGGUCUGGCGAUGUUUUGACGCCGGUGGUGGGUGACGGCACCUGUUUGGCGGCAUUGGUCGGAGAAGGAUUUGCUCAGAAGGGGUGGUACACUGGUAUGUGAGCGGGGUAGAACCGUAGGAGAGUAUGGGUGGGUCGGGUUCAGGGGCGGGUUUCUGGACGGAUUGGGUUCUCUUUUUGCUGGGCUGAGCCCAUGACCAAAAUUAAUUUUUUAAAUAUUCUACAUGUUAGUUAGCUCAUAUUUUUUUUCAUAAACUAAAUUAGGUUAAAUUUUUAACUAAAUAAAACUAUUGGCACACCAUCACCCGCCACCAAUGAUAUAAUUAUCAUCCUAAUAUGUAAUAACCAUAAUUUAGAAUAAAAAUAAAAUUUUUAUUUUAUAGCCAUGAUUUUCAAAUAAAGAUAUCUUUAAUUCAUAUUUGAGUUAGGAUAUUUUUUUUGUGACUAGUUAGGAUAUAAUAUAUACUUUUAGCCAAAAACCUGCCAACUUUUGUUGGGUUUAGAACAUGAAGCCCAGUCCACUUCAGCAACAUCCCAAAUUAACUUAGCUAAACAUAAUUAACCUAACUGAACCAUCUCUUCUCUUUUCCUUUCACCCUUUUACCGUAUUAGACCUCCAUUACCAUACACGGCUGUGCCACACAACCAGCCUCAUCGCGUGGCGUUCUCCUCUGCCAUCGACAGCCGCUGUGCCUCGGUCCACAUCGUGCGGGCAACAUCAAUUCUCCAUAGCUAGCUACAGAACGCCGCAAAGGUUCUCUCUCGUCGACUUGGUCAUUGGCGCGUCAGUCAGAAUCACGCCCAUCUCCGCCGCAACGACGUCGUGCCACCCAGUUGCGAGGAAGAAGGCGGUUCUGCUUGUCGCAAAGAGUGCGCCAUUGCUGCUGCAUGUCGGUGUAGGCGGCGCCAUUGAAGCAUCUCUUCCCUGCUACCACGAACGACAGAACGUCCCUGCCCCAGCCUCAAAACAUCCCUUGCGAGAACUAAUUGUUUCCAUUAAAGGAUUUUGGGCUAUUUCUUGUGAAACUGCAGCAGGAUUGUUUUGCAGAAAAGUCCACCAACAUGGGGAAAAAGGUAAAAUGAUGUCUACCAUUCUCAUUUUAACAUUCCACAUGCUCCUAUGUGUGACUUACAGCUAGUGUUACAAUUAACAAAAAUUGUUAUAGUCGCGAUGCUCGCCCAUCUACAUACAUGACAUGAUGAGCACAUUAUCUAAAAACAACUCCGUUGAGAAGCUUGCGGAGAUUGAUGAGAUCGGAUUCGAAUUCUUGAGGCUUGUUCCAAAUUGGUCGGUGAAGCAAGCCAUCAUGGUUCACCUGGCUGAGUCGUAUCAAGUUAAGCCAAGAACUUUUAUACUUGACAUUGGCAACAUCCGCCUCAAUGCCGAGUUAAUCGGGAGGGUCGUCGGCAUUCUGUCUCGAGGUAAGUUCUGCUAUCUUAAUUCCCUAGUGUGGCGUAGGCGUAUUGGCACAAAUAUCUUUGGGUAUAGAUAUAUCACCAUGCACUAACACAUGAACAUGUUGUAGGGGAUCCAUUCCCAGCCCUGGAUGACAGUAAUCCGUGCCACGUGGCAAUCAAAAAGAGGUUUCAUAGACGGACAACAACUGAACUCUGGGAUUUAGUUUACAGCUGUCUAAUGGCAACAGAAUCAGAUAGGAUGGAGCUCAGGAGAUAUUUCCUACUAUUGGUAAUGAAAAUUUUCCUGUGCCCCACCACUCAACAGGUAAUUUCGCCAUAGCACAUCUAUCCCGUCUUAGAUGUUUCUGAUCCACGAAGAUUCAACUGGCCGUUGCAAACUCUAAAGUGGUUCGACAAGGCAGUCGAGAAGUAUAAGCUGAAAGGGAACAAAACUUGUGAAGCCUGCUUGUCGUCAUGUUGUUAGGACGCAAUGACUAUUAGUAAAUUCAAUAUGCCAUUUUUUAUGUAGAACACAACUUGUAGAAAAUAAUAUUUUAUGGUUGAAAAUUCACGUAUACACCAAAAUCACAGCUACAUGUACAAACAGAAAUAAUAUUUUCAACCAUAAAUAAAUUUUCUACAAGUUAUGUUCUACAUAAAAAAACAACAUACUGAAUUUACUAAUAGUCAUUGCGUCCUACCAGCAUGACGAACAUGCAACCUUUACAAGUUUUGUUCCCUUUUAGCUUAUACUUUUCGACUGCCUUGUCGAACCACUUUAGAGUUUGCAACGGCCAGUUGAAUCUUCGUGGAUCAGAAACAUCUAAGACGGGAUAGAUGUGUCAUGGCAAAAUUACCUAUUGAGUGGUGGGGCACAGGAACAUUUUCAUUACCACCAGUA
Molecule: non-coding RNA, 2804 nt
Organism: Arachis ipaensis
Lineage: Eukaryota; Viridiplantae; Streptophyta; Magnoliopsida; Fabales; Fabaceae
Source: RefSeq, a predicted model, not a curated record